Long non-coding RNA from Scylla paramamosain (green mud crab), 1298 nucleotides. RefSeq lists it as uncharacterized. Lineage: Eukaryota; Metazoa; Arthropoda; Malacostraca; Decapoda; Portunidae. The record is from RefSeq and is a predicted model, not a curated record. The transcript is spliced from 3 exons.
AGAGAGAGAGAGAGAGAGAGAGAGAGUCUUUUCCUUUACCGUUAUAUUUUUUUCUCCAAAGUUUAGCCACGUAAGAUUAUGAUUACAACAGAGAACACGUCAUGGGAUAAUUCUCAUACAGAUUCGUGAUGAGGGAGCACAGCGUUCAAGAAUACGGGCCUGAAGUGUGUCUCCGCGGAGGUGUGUACGAGUGUAGACACAUUUGCUGCUGCUUGAGAACCGCCGCCUGUGCGUGUGUGGAGGAGGAGAGGACUUUGCCUUGUGGGUCGCGUCGCUUGUUGUCAAUGGAACACCCCACGAACAGCCAGAGUAUGGGAGCCCAACACCCCACCCCCGGGAGACACACACACACCUGCAGCCUCCCACGCCUCGCCGAAUAAGGCCACAUGUUUAGGGCGUGGGUAGCUGCCGUGACGGAGAUGCCGGUUGAUAAUGCGUGCGAUAUUAAUACUUUAGGAGUCUCAUGAAGGGAGCGAUUGAACAUUACCAGUGUAAGGAUAUUUGUCGUAUACUUUGAGGGUUCUGGUUCUGGUUCUUGUUCUUGUUAGGGCCGUGAAACUUUGAAGCUAAUAAGAGAGAGAAAUUGAAGGGGUACUAAGAAUGGCUAAUAAGAACAUUGGUGACUUGGUGGUGUUGAUGCACUACGCUGGUAAAAGCAUAAGAACACAAGCCAAAAGACCUACACAUGCCAGUCCUUGUAUGAAACAUGAUAAAAUACUUAUACCCACUUCAUCAUCCUAUCCUUAAAUUUCUCUGAUCUUUUAAAGCUCCUCAAUAGCUCAGCACUAACAACAUGAUGAGUGAGUCCAUUCCAGUCAUCCAUCCCUUUAUUUGUUGUCAGUGGCGUCUUUAGAACAUAAACUUGCACCAUGACAUAAGAACAUGAGAAAAUAAGGGAAGCUGCAAGAAGCCGUCAGGUCUACCCACACAUGGCAGUCCCUGCUUGAAACAUAGUACCAUAUUUUGAAGUACUUCUGCACCGCAUCUCGACUGCUUUCAAAAAGACUUUAGUUAAAGUUACACAGGUUUCCAAGAGUGUUUAUGGGGUUCUAGUGAGAUAUUAAUACGAUCUCUAUAUUAUUAACAGAAGAAAUACUCUUGAGAACCCUGCUAAUAAUCUCUGUGGUCUUUGAAAAUAGUGGUAGUGAGAAAGCAAAGCGUUUUAGAAUACGGUCCAUACUGUCAUUCUAUUAAACUGGAGGAGAAACCGUAGCCUUCAUAGUAGAUAACGUAUAAUAAUAAGCAAAAUGUUGUUCCCUCACAUUCACCAUCGCGUGUUCAAUAACAAGUGUAUAGGA